This is a long non-coding RNA of Schistocerca cancellata (South American locust), 2679 nucleotides long. RefSeq lists it as uncharacterized. The transcript is spliced from 3 exons. Lineage: Eukaryota; Metazoa; Arthropoda; Insecta; Orthoptera; Acrididae. The record is from RefSeq and is a predicted model, not a curated record.
UGCCGUUGAAUUUGUGUGUGCUGUGUGUCUGCAUGUGUGAACAACCGCGAAGUUAUCGAUUGAUCAUUGAACACAGUUUUCCGAAAUAGCGAAGUGGGAAGGCGUUUCAGUACAUCUGUGUUUCGGUAGUGUGGUUUCGUGCCGCAUAUCUGUAACUUGAAAGCUCAAAGUUGUUUCUCGAUUCUGUUAUUUACACGUUCGUCAUGAGCGCCAUCGGUGGUAAUGAUGAAAUGGUAACGAAUAGACUGAAAGCCUUAACAGAUAAGCUUGAAGAAAUGGAUGCAAAUUUAUUGAGAGUUAAGAGGGAAUAUAAAGAAUUUCUGGAACUUAACAGGACUGUUUGUAGUUAUAUUCAAGCCUCCAUCAGAAGUGUCAGCUACGAUGAAGAAAAUCCUGACACAAGAAACCCUGGGAGUCAGCAACGAUGAAGAAAAUCCUGACACACAAAACGCUGGAAGUUAAUAAAACAGAAUUUUGGUGCAUUUCGUUGGUAUUAUCAGUUCUGAAUUUGUGCACACUCAGCAGCAAGCAAUGUAUCGAGAUGUUCAAAAAUUAAAAUUUGUUUCCGAUACCUGAGUAAUUGCUUCUACAUCAGGUGCUUUAUUUGGAAUGUCUUUUUAUUUAUGAAAUGCCAUCAAUUACGGUUAAGUGUGGUGAUAAUGCAAUUUCUGUAGAGGUAUAUAAGUAAUUCCAGGCCUUUUUGUCUUUCAUGUGUAAUCGAAAAGUUGAUUGUGACUGCGACAUACAGCGUACACGAAAAUGUUUCCAUGUUUGUUCCAGUGCAGCCUGAUGAAGACAGUUCCAUAAGUAGAGAAGCAUAAUUGCAAUACUGUAUGCUAAUGGAUGGAAGAGGUGAAAUAUCCACAACAUGUGUGAUGGUCUCUGUACUUUAAGUUGGCUUUGAUAUGAGGCUGUUAAAGUAGGCCUAGCCUACAAGCUGAUAGAUCUUGCACAUAUACUUAUUCAAAUUUCAUUGGACAUACUUGUUAAUAAGCAGCUUACAGCUUUUAGUGAAUUUGAGUAUGUGAUUUUUAUUUUGAAGGUGUCAGCUUUGCUUUAUAUUAGUGUCAAGAAGUUGCAUGUAAUGAGACUGAAAUAAAAAUAUAUAGACACAAUUGUUUGUUGCAUAAUGCUGACUUUUUUCACGUUAUUCCUUGACAGAGAAACCAAAGAGAGUCUAAAAUGAUGUUCUGAUAAUAGAAUAACCAAAUAAAUGGAAAAAUGACGUUUCAUGUGAUGAAUAUGUGCCUUAGGAUAAUCUUACUGUCAAGUGAAUUUGCUCUUAGAUUUGAUGCAUCUUGUGGAAAAACAAAUUUUUCUUCUUUUAUCUGGACAUGGGUCUCUGAAGUAACAGCACAAGUGUUUUUUAUUUUUUUUAUCACAUGCUGUGGUUUUGUGUUUUGUAAAACAGUUGUGAUUUUUGUUUUUUCAGUUUCAUUUGUGCUUGUUACAAGUUUCACUUUAAAAUUGCAGUUUUUCAUGAUGAAGAUUGAGGAAACAAAAACAAACUGUGUAAGAAAAAUGUAGAGAACCAUAGCAUGUGGUAACAAGAAAGGAAAUAAACUGAUGCUGUAACUCUAUUGGAUUAAUUAUCUGGUAUAAUGAAGUACAUCACUUUCAUUAUGACAAUUUCAGAACCUCCUAAAAUCCUGGUGCCUGGAAAGUAGAUAGUGGAAAGUUCAUUUGUGUAUGUAUGUAUGUAUAGUUUUAAGAGUGUAUUGGAUAAGUUGACGAAAUAAAAUAUGUACAGUUGUGGAAAUGAACAUAAUACAUUCACUUUGAGAGUUUAUCGGAAUAUGUAGACUUAGGUAUGUAAAUUUCACUGACUCUGCUUGCAUUAAACAGACUUUGACUGUGCUAGUGUGUACACCAUUGGUCAUUAAAAGCUGUGACACCAGAUAGGGUAGCAAAUAAUGAAACAUUACUUAUUGUAUGUAUGCUGUGUAGCAGGAACAAUACUUGGUGAUUAAUUUCUUAGAUACUUUAGGAGUAUACAGGGUGUGAAAUAGUGCUCAGAGCUGCCAUCUUAGGCAGCAACAAUGGAUGUGACCCAACUUGGCACUCUGUCGAAUUGAGCUUGGGUCACGUCAGUUCUACGACAGAGUUGAUGGUCAUAGUUCGUGGCAAGUGAUGAAGUUCCAGAGGAUUGCAAUGGGUGAGAGAUCUGGAAAACAUGCUGCCUCUAAAGUAACACUUUCUGUUUCAGUCUUAGGCCAUCAUGUUGGAAGAUGGCAGGGAGACCUCAAAGAUAGGGCACACUUACUGACCUUUACAUGUCAUAAAUGUAAUUGCGGCUGUUCAAAUUAUGUUAUACACAAAGUGGAAGGGAUAAUUGUGUGCUCAGUGGCACAACAUAUCAUGUCAGGUGCUGGGUUUGAAAUGAGGAUGACAAAUGCAGUCGGGCAGCAUUUUCCCAUGGAGUUUCCUCUCAUGGACACGACCAUUGUGCUGCUGUACAUAGGGGUGGAACGUGCCUGAAAAAAUGACAUGGUGUGCAGUGUUGUCAUUGCUUGCCUCUCUGCUGCUGUGUUGAGAGUAUGUAAUCAACACUUCCAUGGAAGAACAUUUUCUUCCUCACUACAAUCGACACAAUGUAACUGCACUCUUCAAUUUUCCGAAGGCACUCCUAGUUAAACAAUGUUAAGUCAGUGUUCAUGUAUGGUUGAUCACCUUUAUAAA